GCAGUCGAACGCUUCUUUUUCCCCGGAGCUUGCUCCACCGGAAAAAGAAGAGUGGCGAACGGGUGAGUAACACGUGGGUAACCUGCCCAUCAGAAGGGGAUAACACUUGGAAACAGGUGCUAAUACCGUAUAACAAUCGAAACCGCAUGGUUUUGAUUUGAAAGGCGCUUUCGGGUGUCGCUGAUGGAUGGACCCGCGGUGCAUUAGCUAGUUGGUGAGGUAACGGCUCACCAAGGCCACGAUGCAUAGCCGACCUGAGAGGGUGAUCGGCCACAUUGGGACUGAGACACGGCCCAAACUCCUACGGGAGGCAGCAGUAGGGAAUCUUCGGCAAUGGACGAAAGUCUGACCGAGCAACGCCGCGUGAGUGAAGAAGGUUUUCGGAUCGUAAAACUCUGUUGUUAGAGAAGAACAAGGAUGAGAGUAACUGUUCAUCCCUUGACGGUAUCUAACCAGAAAGCCACGGCUAACUACGUGCCAGCAGCCGCGGUAAUACGUAGGUGGCAAGCGUUGUCCGGAUUUAUUGGGCGUAAAGCGAGCGCAGGCGGUUUCUUAAGUCUGAUGUGAAAGCCCCCGGCUCAACCGGGGAGGGUCAUUGGAAACUGGGAGACUUGAGUGCAGAAGAGGAGAGUGGAAUUCCAUGUGUAGCGGUGAAAUGCGUAGAUAUAUGGAGGAACACCAGUGGCGAAGGCGGCUCUCUGGUCUGUAACUGACGCUGAGGCUCGAAAGCGUGGGGAGCAAACAGGAUUAGAUACCCUGGUAGUCCACGCCGUAAACGAUGAGUGCUAAGUGUUGGAGGGUUUCCGCCCUUCAGUGCUGCAGCUAACGCAUUAAGCACUCCGCCUGGGGAGUACGACCGCAAGGUUGAAACUCAAAGGAAUUGACGGGGGCCCGCACAAGCGGUGGAGCAUGUGGUUUAAUUCGAAGCAACGCGAAGAACCUUACCAGGUCUUGACAUCCUUUGACCACUCUAGAGAUAGAGCUUCCCCUUCGGGGGCAAAGUGACAGGUGGUGCAUGGUUGUCGUCAGCUCGUGUCGUGAGAUGUUGGGUUAAGUCCCGCAACGAGCGCAACCCUUAUUGUUAGUUGCCAUCAUUCAGUUGGGCACUCUAGCAAGACUGCCGGUGACAAACCGGAGGAAGGUGGGGAUGACGUCAAAUCAUCAUGCCCCUUAUGACCUGGGCUACACACGUGCUACAAUGGGAAGUACAACGAGUCGCGAAGUCGCGAGGCUAAGCUAAUCUCUUAAAGCUUCUCUCAGUUCGGAUUGCAGGCUGCAACUCGCCUGCAUGAAGCCGGAAUCGCUAGUAAUCGCGGAUCAGCACGCCGCGGUGAAUACGUUCCCGGGCCUUGUACACACCGCCCGUCACACCACGAGAGUUUGUAACACCCGAAGUCGGUGAGGUAACCUUUGGAGCCAGCCG
This 1423-nucleotide ribosomal RNA is filed under the name Enterococcus faecium. Its description in RNAcentral is "bacterial SSU rRNA". It matches the Rfam family "Bacterial small subunit ribosomal RNA". Lineage: Bacteria; Bacillati; Bacillota; Bacilli; Lactobacillales; Enterococcaceae. The record is from RNAcentral.